Molecule: ribosomal RNA, 406 nt
Filed under: uncultured bacterium
Lineage: Bacteria
Description: partial 16S ribosomal RNA
Rfam family: Bacterial small subunit ribosomal RNA
Source: RNAcentral
AUUGAACGCUGGCGGCAGGCCUAACACAUGCAAGUCGAGCGAGCGGCGGACGUGUGAGUAAUGUCUGGGAAACAGCCUGGUGGAGGGGGAUAACUACUGGAAACGGUAGCUAAUACGGCAUUGCAUCAGAUGUGCCCAGAUGGGAUUAGCUUGUAGCUGGGGUAAGGGCUCACCAAGGCGACGAUCCCUGGCUGGUCUGGGAGGAUGACCGGCCACACUGGAACGGAGACACGGGCCAGACUCCUACGGGAGGCAGCAGUGGGGAAUAUUGCACAAUGGGCGCAAGCCUGAUGCAGCCAUGCCGCGUGUGUGAAGAAGGCCUUCGGGUUGUAAAGCACUUUCAGCGAGGAGGCGUUACUCGCAGAAUAAGCACCGGCUAACUCCGUGCCAGCAGCCGCGGUAAUAC